CCUACGGGCGGCAGCAGUGAGGAAUAUUGGUCAAUGGACGAGAGUCUGAACCAGCCAAGUAGCGUGAAGGAUGACUGCCCUAUGGGUUGUAAACUUCUUUUAUAUGGGAAUAAAAUGUUCCACGUGUGGGAUUUUGUAUGUACCAUAUGAAUAAGGCUCGGCUAACUCCGUGCCAGCAGCCGCGGUAAUACGGAGGAUCCGAGCGUUAUCCGGAUUUAUUGGGGUUAAAGGGAGCGUAGGUGGAUUGUUAAGUCAGUUGUGAAAGUUUGCGGCUCAACCGUAAAAUUGCAGUUGAAACUGGCAGUCUUGAGUACAGUAGAGGUGGGCGGAAUUCGUGGUGUAGCGGUGAAAUGCUUAGAUAUCACGAAGAACUCCGAUUGCGAAGGCAGUUCACUGGACUGCAACUGACACUGAGGCUCGAAAGUGUGGGUAUCAAACAGGAUUAGAUACCCGAGUAGUC
RNAcentral lists this ribosomal RNA (460 nucleotides) under uncultured bacterium. Its description in RNAcentral is "partial 16S ribosomal RNA". It matches the Rfam family "Bacterial small subunit ribosomal RNA", at positions 338 to 795 of the family's 1533-position model. The record is from RNAcentral.